CCCUUAGAUGUUCUGGGCCGCACACGCGCUACACUGAAGGAGGCAGCGUGUACUCCUGGAUCGAAAGAUUUGGGUAACCCGCGAAUCUCCUUCGUACUAGGGAUUGAGGUUUGCAAUUAUCCUUCAUGAACGAGGAAUUCCCAGUAAGUGCAAGUCAUAAGCUUGCGCUGACUACGUCCCUGCCCUUUGUACACACCGCCCGUCGCUACUACCGAUUGAAUGAUUUAGUGAGGACUUCGGACUGGGACCGAUGCGGCUUUCGGGCUGCGUCGGUAUUCUGGAAAGAUGUCCAAACUGUAUCAUUUAGAGGAAGUAAAAGUCGUAACA
Molecule: ribosomal RNA, 327 nt
Filed under: uncultured eukaryote
Lineage: Eukaryota
Description: partial 18S ribosomal RNA
Rfam family: Eukaryotic small subunit ribosomal RNA
Source: RNAcentral